GAGAGAGUAACGGAACAUGAGAG
RNAcentral lists this small nuclear RNA (23 nucleotides) under Arabidopsis thaliana (thale cress). RNAcentral's name for it is "snRNA_04456". The record is from RNAcentral. Lineage: Eukaryota; Viridiplantae; Streptophyta; Magnoliopsida; Brassicales; Brassicaceae.